CCUACGGGUGGCAGCAGUCGAGAAUCAUUCACAAUGGGGGAAACCCUGAUGGUGCGACGCCGCGUGGGGGAAUGAAGGUCUUCGGAUUGUAAACCCCUGUCAUGUGGGAGCAAAUUAAAAAGAUAGUACCACACGAGGAAGAGACGGCUAACUCUGUGCCAGCAGCCGCGGUAAUACAGAGGUCUCAAGCGUUGUUCGGAAUCACUGGGCGUAAAGCGUGCGUAGGCUGUUUCGUAAGUCGUGUGUGAAAGGCGCGGGCUCAACCCGCGGACGGCACAUGUUACUGCGAGACUAGAGUAAUGGAGGGGGAACCGGAAUUCUCGGUGUAGCAGUGAAAUGCGUAGAUAUCGAGAGGAACACUCGUGGCGAAGGCGGGUUCCUGGACAUUAACUGACGCUGAGGCACGAAGGCCAGGGGAGCGAAAGGGAUUAGAUACCCGUGUAGUC
RNAcentral lists this ribosomal RNA (446 nucleotides) under uncultured bacterium. Its description in RNAcentral is "partial 16S ribosomal RNA". It matches the Rfam family "Bacterial small subunit ribosomal RNA", at positions 338 to 795 of the family's 1533-position model. The record is from RNAcentral.